This 467-nucleotide ribosomal RNA is filed under the name Acinetobacter baumannii. RNAcentral's name for it is "bacterial SSU rRNA". It matches the Rfam family "Bacterial small subunit ribosomal RNA", at positions 1 to 466 of the family's 1533-position model. Lineage: Bacteria; Pseudomonadati; Pseudomonadota; Gammaproteobacteria; Moraxellales; Moraxellaceae. The record is from RNAcentral.
UAACUGAAGAGUUUGAUCAUGGCUCAGAUUGAACGCUGGCGGCAGGCUUAACACAUGCAAGUCGAGCGGGGGAAGGUAGCUUGCUACCGGACCUAGCGGCGGACGGGUGAGUAAUGCUUAGGAAUCUGCCUAUUAGUGGGGGACAACAUCUCGAAAGGGAUGCUAAUACCGCAUACGUCCUACGGGAGAAAGCAGGGGAUCUUCGGACCUUGCGCUAAUAGAUGAGCCUAAGUCGGAUUAGCUAGUUGGUGGGGUAAAGGCCUACCAAGGCGACGAUCUGUAGCGGGUCUGAGAGGAUGAUCCGCCACACUGGGACUGAGACACGGCCCAGACUCCUACGGGAGGCAGCAGUGGGGAAUAUUGGACAAUGGGGGGAACCCUGAUCCAGCCAUGCCGCGUGUGUGAAGAAGGCCUUAUGGUUGUAAAGCACUUUAAGCGAGGAGGAGGCUACUUUAGUUAAUACCUAG